Long non-coding RNA from Gorilla gorilla gorilla (western lowland gorilla), 40160 nucleotides. RefSeq lists it as uncharacterized. The transcript has 5 exons. Lineage: Eukaryota; Metazoa; Chordata; Mammalia; Primates; Hominidae. The record is from RefSeq and is a predicted model, not a curated record.
GUGAGUCGGCUUGUUUGUGUCAGACUCAGAUAAACUGCAUUUGCCUUUGCUCUCUUUCGAAGGGCUCCUACAUAGCUAAGGUGUCGCUGGGUGAAGAAUUCCCAUUGUAAGAAUUGGUCGUGUUAACAAAUAUGUGUUACUUGUUGACCUCUUGUUAUAUGCUAGACCCUGGGCUUGACAUUUCCUUCCUUCCUUCUUUCCUUCCUUCCUUCCUUCCUUCCUUCCUUCCUUCCUUCCUUCCUUCCUUCCUUCCUUCCUUCCAUCUGUCCAUCUUAAGUCAACCAAUAUUGCCUGUCAUAGAACAGCUGUGCCCUCCUGUCAGGAGGGAAAGAUGAGUGAGACCCAUCCUCACCCUCACAGAGAUGCAGUCUGGUGGUCUCUGGAAGAAGGAAGUUGUGAAACUUACCGAUUCCUUGGGAAAACAGGCAGGUACACAGGUACUGGCCUGUGCAGUGGGUGGGGUGGUCUCUCAGCUGUGCCAGUUCCUAGAGGAACCGAAAUCUAGUUAGGAGUGAACAGAAACUGCGUAACAGAAGAUGGGCUCUGCUCUGCAUCUUGGAAAUUGCCAAAGAUUUGUAAUGGUAAGGUGAAGACUGGUCUUGCGGUGGGAGGGGGAAUAAUGGUAUUAGCAGAGGCUUCAAGCUGAGUAUAAACAUGGUGUGUUUGGGUGUUGAGCAUGGUUUGCCUGGGAUGGAGAAUUGUUACUGGGGGCUUGGGGGUGAUGCAUUUUGAUACCCAGGCCUGGAUCAAAUUAUGGAAGGCACCAAACGGCAGCCUAAAGAGUCUGGAUUUUGUUUGACAAUGGGGAGCUACUGAAGGGCUUUCUGUACCAUAAAGGUAAGUUAAAAGUGUGAGUUAGAAAGAUUGGAGUACGGAGCCUGGUUAGAAAAGUAGUGCUGCAAUAUUCAUGGUGUGAAGAGAUGAAAGCCUGAACUUUGGUGGUGCUGUGCAGGUAGAGAAGAGGAGACAGGUGUGAGACUGUGAAGCGAGCACCUGAUCGGAGGGUGUGCUGUUGGGCUAGAUUUAGAGGUGGGGAGAGAGAAUGUGAGAGCUCUGAGGCAUGAGUAAUUAGAUGCUGGAACAUUUUCCCUUUCCCUUCUGCUUCCCUAUUUUCCCUCUAUUUAUUAUCUAUUUUGAUGUUUAUUCCUGUGUUGUUGUGCAUGCAAGGAAAGUGUGGGCAGUGGCUAAUGUGGCCCCAAAGGUCUGUACCUCCUGGUGUUCAUGCCCUUGUGUAAUCCUCUUUUCUUUAGUGUGGGCUAGACUUAGUCACUUGCUUAUAACAAAGAGAAUAUAGCAAAAGUGGUGGGGUGUCAUUUCUGAGGUUAGGGUACAAAACUGCUGUCACUUCUGUUGCUCUCACUCUCUCUUGCAUGCCCUGUCUUGCUCUAAGGGAAGCCCACUUCCAUGUUGUAAGCUGCCUUAUGGAGAGGCCUGUGUGGCAGGUAACUGAGGGAGGCCUCUGGUCAUCAGCCAGUGGGGAACUGAGGCCCUCAGUACAACAGCCAGUGAGGAGCUUAAUCCUGCUAGUAGCCAUGUGAGUGGGCCACUUGCUGGGAGUCAGUGACUUGAGCUUCCAGAAUGCUGUCUCCUCUUCUGGGAGCUACUGUAAACCACUCAAAAAAAUCAAAGGUGGCUUAUCAUCAGAAGUCAGGACACCUCAGUUAUAGUGAAGCAAAUCAGUGGUUCCAUAUUUUAACAUGAGCUUACUUUCCCAGCAGAGUCUCUCAAGUGGAGGUUACUACACAGGACCUUGAAGAGAGUCUGACAGCCCAAAUAUUAUUUCCUUCUAUUUGGGAUGAUUUUACUCCACAGUACGGUAAAUUGUGGGCUAGAAUCUAAAAGUGAUUUAGCAUCUCUACAAAAGAAGACUUCAUAGGCAUUGCCACGUUUAAUUGAUAACAGAGUAGAUCUACAUUGUUGCAGUUAGUUAUGGAGUAUAAUUGUAGAGUUGCUUUACUCUAAGCCUUCCCCAGUCUCUCCAUUGACUAUAGACAUAAUAAUACUGACUUGUUGAAACUAUAACCCAUCUAUGACUGUUGGAUAACAUGACUGUCAAUCAAAUUGCAUAACUGAGAGGCAGAGAAUAAAGAAAGCAUCGCUCAUCAAACUACUAGACAUUUACACUUGACUUUGGAUGAAAAUUGAGGUCACUUGGAAGUAGUGUUCAGGUUUACAUGCUGUGUAUAUAUUAUAUACAUAGCAAUACUCAUAUAUCAACUAUAUAUGGUGAUCGAUUUAUUACAGAAUUGAAUUCCUUUUGGUAGUAAAUAAUUACAAAUACUGUUAGAGGCAACAAGAAUCGAAUACAUCCUUAAUAAGGAUAAAGUGACCUGUAAAACAGUAAUUUAAAGCAUAUUAGUAUAAUGUCUAUGUGAUAAAACUAUCUAGCAAAGGCAAAACACCCUCUUCCCCUCAUGAUUAAUGUUUAGGAAGAUAAAAGGAUGUAAAUAUUUUUAUUGUUUUAUUAUCUUUCUUAGGAAAAUGACAGUGUGGUUGGUUUAAUUAAAAAGGAGAGUCUCCCAUAGACCAAAUAAAGAAAUCUGUUCUGUUUUGAUGACAAUGGAAAAUACCCAUUUAACUUGAAUAACACCUGGUUCUGUAGAAAUGUGCAUCUAUUAUGUAUCCUGCAUUCACUUAGUCUGAUUCAUGUGCUGUUUCACCACAUUAUUGAAAAGAAGAGAAGAGGGAAUAUUAGCUCUCUCAUUUGAGGAUAUUAAACUCCUGCUGGGGUUGAGGCACGGUGUGAGCACCCUACUUCCUACCUAGACUGUUGGGGCAACAGUCUACCUAGACCUGGAGGCAAUGAGGAGAAAAUGACAUGUUCCAUUAGAAUGAGGCAUCCCCGGAAUUAUUCGAUAUUCUUUGCCUUAAUUGAAUCCAUCUAUCCCAUCUGCCACUCUUCUCUCUAAAUUUAUUUCCCUAACCCAUUCUCCCUGAGAAUUAAAAUUUGGGGGAAAUUUGUUACCUACGUUGUUACCUUUUAUAAAAGCUCUCGGCAUCUGGAGGGCAGGUGUGCCUUCUACUCUGCCUUGCUAGACAACUUUACCUGCCUCUUUCCUGCCCCUUGCAGGCUGCUGGAUUAAAAACAGGACUGGAUAAAAGGCCCCCAGUAGCAACAGGAGUGGGAACGAAAAUAGAAAUUCUAAGCUUUUACUUAUUGGUUUCAAUACAGAGCCCUAACCAUGUGCCAGGCCUGGCUAACCGUGGUCUCUAUUAAUAAAUAUAACUACACAAACAUUUGCAUUCUGACUGGGGCAGAACAGCCAGCACGGGAGUAUGUUAUCUCAAGGGAAAGCUGUCUUAAAACUCUUGACUGAUUCACCUGUGACUUUGGCCAGUUGGUGCUCCCUGGAACUGCUCUGGUGCUGAAGGUUGAGGUCAUCUCUGUUCCCCAGAAUGUGGCAGAUCCAGCCACAUUCCUGACCACUAUCCUUUGCAAGGAUGAGACAGGAGAGAUGAUAGCUUCUCUUUAGGAUUCUUGUAGAAAUCACUUUUGGCCCUUAACCUACAUAUAAAGAAAUUUAACAUUAAUGUGCACAUAUUGAUUUGAGCAAAGCCCAUCCAUAUCUCCAAACCUACCAUUUACUAUGGUGCAGGAGGCAGUACAGGGUGGAGGCCAGAGCAUAGGCUUGAGAUGGGCAGGUAUGAAUUAGAAUUGCCCUUUAGUCAUUUGCUUGAGAACCUGCCUUGAUCCAUCUGAACCUCAGGCUUCUCAUCUCUGAAAUGGGUAGUAAAGCUCUUCUUUUGGGAUUGUUGUGAGGAUUAAGUGAGAUUCUGGGUUCUGAGCCCCAGGCAUAGGGCCUGGCACACAGUGGACAGUGGUUCAAUGUUCACUGUGAUGAUUACUUCAGUUUCAGUGCAUCAUUUAGACAGCAGCUGCCAGUCAGAGACAGGCUGACACUGACCUAGGAGUAGCUCCUCUGGUUGCUUCUGACAGACAUCCUUCUGCUUAGAAAGGAAACUUAAAGCACUUCUCUCUUUUACAUGGGGCUGCUGGCCUACAUCUGUUAUGUGGAGGCCUCUGUCUGAAACCUCUGCCCAAAACCUCCUCUUGACAUAUACAUCAUGGUAAUAUAUAAAUAUACCUUUCUUCAGGAAAGGUCCUAAAAGACCGUUUGCUAUGCAGAGGGACUGCAAAAUCCAGUUUGGUUGCAGACAAAACUGCCUUUGCAUGAUGAGGUAAAUAGUUGUCUUAAAACUAAGUAGAGUGUGAUUUCUGCUUGUUAUUGUUUUCUUUGAAAAAUUUGUUUCUUCCAUAAAAGAAACUUGACAGUGAAUUUUGAAAAUCAUGUGAUAUAGUUUGGCUGUGUCCCCACCCAAAUCUCAACUUGAAUUGUAUCUCCAAGAAUUCCCAUGUGUUGUGGGAGGGACCCAGGGGGAGCUAACUGGAUCAUGGGGGCUGGUCUUUCCCAUGCUGUUCUUGUGAUAGUAAAUAAGUCUCAGGAGAUCUGAUGGGUUUAUCAGGGGUUUCCGCUUUUGCUUCUUCCUCAUUUUUCUCUUGCCGCUGCCGUGUAAGAAGUGUCUUUUGCCUCCCGCUAUGAUUCUGAGACCUCCCCAACCAUGUGGAACUGUAAGUCCAAUUAAACCUCUUUUUUUUUUUUUUUUUUUUUUUUUUUGGAGAUGGAGUCUUGCUCUGUCACCCAAGCUGGAGUGCAAUGGCACAAUCUUGGCUCACUGCAACCUCCGCCUUGCAGGUUCAAGCGAUUCUCCUGCCUCAGCCUCCCAAGUAGCUGGGAUUACAGGCAUCCACCACCACGCCUGGAUAAUUUUUGUAUUUUUAAUAGAGGUGGGGUUUCAGCACGUUGGCCCGGCUGAUCUUGAACUCCUGACCUCAGGUGAUCCACCCACCUUGGCCUCCCAAAGUGCUGGAAUUACAGGCAUGAGCUGCCAUGCCCGGCCUAAGCCUCUUUUUGUUCCCAGUUUUGGGCAUGUCUUUAUCAGCAGUGUGAAAACAAACUAAUACAUCAUGAAUAAACAUGUUCUCCUCAUGAGAUAGUAAAACAAUAGAGAUAAGGGGGAAGUAUCCCCUUCAAAUGUGGUCACUCCUGUACCCCCAGGUCUAAAGGCAUUUUUCAUACCAUUUUCUAGACAUUUACCUACUGUAUAUGUCUGUCAUUACGGGUGUAGAUGAUAUUGCUGUGUGCGUUGUCUUUUUUUUUCUUUUUAAUGUGAAUAGUAUCACUUCACGGACAUUUUUCUGUAAUUUUUCACACGUGCUGUUAAAUGUUAUUAUGUAUGGAAAUACCUCAUUCUUUUAAACUGCUUCAUGGUAUUCCAUAAAAUAUUCCAGGGUCUAUUUAUCUGUUAUUUUUAUUCUUAUUUAUUUAUUUAUGUAUUUAUUUUUCGAGGCAGAGUCUUGCUCUGUCGCCCAGGCUGGAGUGCAGUGGCGCAAUCUCGGCUCACUGCAAACUCCACCUCCUGAGUUCAAGUGAUUCUCCUGCUUCAGCCUCCCAAGUAGUUGGGAUUACAGGCAUCUGCCACCAUGCCCAGCUGAUUUUUGUAUUUUUACCAGAAGUGGGGUUUCACUAUGUUGGCCAGGCUGGCCUUGAACUCCUGACCUCAAAUGAUCCACCCACCUUGGCCUCCCAAAUAUUUAUCUGUUAAGUUGAUAGACAUUUAGGUUUCUAGUUUUUAUGGAAAAUAGGUAGUCAAUGUCUUUAUUUUUAUGUAUGCUUCCUGGGCACGUGAGGAAGUAUUACUACCCAGAAAUAGAAUUGCUGGGUAUGUGCAUUUUUAAUUUUAAUAGUUCUGCCAGAUUGUCUUCUGAAGUAGCUGAGUAAUUUAUACUUCCACUAGCAGUACAGAGAUGUGCCCAUUUCCUUAAUUAAUGCUCCACAUUUUCAAACCUUUUAAAUUUUGCCAAUGUUAUGAGUAAAAAAAAUUUGAUUUGUAUUUCCCUCAUUUGUGGUGUGUUUUUGAGCAUUUUCCUCUCAUGUUCAUUGUAUUUGUACUCUGUAAAUUGCUGUUAGUAUCCUUUGAUGAUUUGUCAUUGGUAUUAUUUAGAGCUGCUUAUUGAUUUGUAGGAAUUCUCUAUGUAUUCUCGAUUUGGAUCUUUUCUCUAUUUGGAAACAAUGUAAUUUUCCACCUUGUUGCUUUUCUUCUUUUGACCUUGUUUAUGGCAUCUUUUCCACAAACGCUUUUUCUCCCCUUUGGAAAUAGUUGACAUUUCAGGCUUUUCCUUGAGGCCUUUUGUUUUUUGUGUCUUGCUUAAGAAGACCUUCACUUCCUCAAGGUCAUAAAAUAGUUUCUUAUAUUUUCUCUUUAUGCUUUAUAGGUGUUUGGUUUUUUAUUCAGAUCUUGGAAUCUUUUGGUUAAUGAUGUGAGGUAAAAAGUUAAUUUUCAAUCUUUUUCCAGUUACCAUCUAUCCUGAGAACCAUAUAUUGAAUAGUUUAUCCUUUCUGUAGAGAUCUUUCUUAUGCUUAUUUUCCAAACACCUGGGUCUGUUUCUGAGCUCUUUUUCUGUUCAUUGUUUGAACUGUUUUUUUUCCUGCACCAAUUAAUUACUCUUCUUUAAAUAAUAUGCUUUGUGGUCUACAAAAAAUCUUUUUCAUUAUAGAUUUAGUAAAUUCUAUCUCUAAAAAAUUAUUUUUUUAAUUCCUGGGAAGUGUGUUAUACAUGACAUUGUUCAACAUUUGCCAUGUCUAGAUGAUCAUAGGAAACAGAACCUCGCCUCAUGCCCACAGGAUGCUGUAAAGAUGGGCCCAAUGACUACAGCCAGCUCGGAUCUUGGUGAAGCUUCCCCUGAAAUGAUUUUCCAAGACAAAUAUCUCAGACUUGGGGAAAUGAAUUAUUGAGAGAUAUUGUCUUCUAAGUUUCUAAAAAGGCCAACCUCUGUGGGUGGUGGUUGGGAAUUUUCUUGAAUGAUGUGGACGCUCCCAGCUGUCUGUCUGUCAGGCCAGAAGGGAGAAAGUAGAGCCAUGGAAAGUGAAGGCUGGAGGAGAGGGAGACAGCAGACCUGAGACAGGGCAUGGAACCCCUGGGCUUCCCAGAGGGGAAGGGACUGAAGGUCUCCCUGGGUAGUGGGAGAGAAGCAGGUGGACCCUGUGGGCUGGGAGCUGGGCCAGGCAGCGUCUGGAAAGAGGACCUGUCUGGAAUGACCAAGGUGUGACUCUGGAAUCCUUCAAAUCCAGUACCCAGUUGUAAGGUUUUCUGUGUUGUCAUUUCUUUUAUUUUACCCAAGUUUUUAUUAAAUGACCUAGCCUUCAAUAGCUGUGCUAUCGGAAACCAAAUUAUGAGUUUAUACUGCUGUAGGAGCCACAACAGGAAGGCUGCAAGUAUCCAGCUUCAUGCCAGCCCUGUGUGGUAACAGCACCAUUAUUCAAGAGAAGACGGCAAUGCUGGGAACCCGGCAGGCAGCCAAGUACCAAGUGAGCAGAGGGGGAUGCCUGAGCUGUGAUGUUGUCCUUAACACUUUCCCCCAGCCCUACCUUUUAAUACCCUGCAAAGGAGGAAAUCCUAGAAGUGAGAGACCAGAGUCUGGGUUUUAUUUAUAUGACAGGAAGUAGAAGCUAGAACCUUUAAGGUCACAGAACACCCAUAGUAGAACUUAAAGUCCAGGUCUCCUUUGGUGGGAGGCCAGCUUGCUGUUUCCCAAGAAUGAUGCUACGGCCAUAAAUUUGAAUUUCUGUGUAGGCCAGUGUUUCUCGACUGUGGGCAGUUUUGCCACCCCCUCGUCCCAGAGGACAUUUGGCAAUGUCUGGAGACAUUUUUGGUUGUCAUGACUGGGGGGUGAAGGUGCUACUGCUAUCUAGUGGGUAGAAGCCAAGGAUGCUGUUAAACUUCCUACACUGGAAUGCACAGGACGGCCCCUACCUCAAAGGUUGAUCACGUCCAAAAUGAUAGUGAUGAGAUUGAGAGAAACCCUGAUGUAGGCCAGUUAAUUUUAGGUUUUCUUUUUUUUUCUUUUUCAUUCCUAGAUAAUAAAUGCCUAACUCUCACCAACUACCUUGCCAUCGUGGGCUUCUUCGAUCAGAAAUCUAGUAAGAGAGUGUGGUAGGGGCUGCAAGACCCAUCAUCACUACCAAAAAACCUGAAGUCUUUUCACUUUCAAUAUGUGAAGACCUAAAUUAUGUAAUUGGAUGAAUGAUAUUUGUAGAGUCAAAGAGAAUGUGAGCUCUCCGUCUUAUGGGUAUAGUUAUUAUGUAAUAAUCAAGUAAUGUGGUCUUCUUUUAUUGUCUUAAUCUUUCACAAACCAUUGCUUUCCUACUCCAAUAGGAAGCCCGAUCAGUGCUAAGACACUGAUACUAGAUAGCUCUUAUUAUUGCCAAUGUAUGGAUGAUGAAACUGAGGCUCAGAGAGGAAGUAAAAUAAAGCAUGGCUCCCCCCUACUGGUUUACUAUAUUCCAAAGUUAUUAAACACCUGGCCAGCACUGCUGUGUAGGUUGUACACUGCACAAUUGUGUCCCUUCUAAGGAGUCAGUGUUCAAAUCACAGCCAUCAGAGAUUUAUUAUGAUAAUUUUUCUGGCAGAUGGCAGUAAAGUAGCUUAUUCUAACAAAAUUGGGAAUAUAAAGACUAUUUUCUAACAGAUGGAAGUAGAGUUUUUUGAAGCAGGUGAGCCUUUUCCUGAUGCUCACUCAGGUGCUAGAUGGACUAGCAGAAAGAAUGGCAUCAUUGAUGUCCCUUUGUAUGUGUUACCAGUUCAUCUGGGAAUUUUACUUUUUGCUGGGAGUCACCCUCCCUUGCCAGCCACAUGUGUGGUUAUACGUUGGUAUUGCAGAGUGAUGCCGUUUACAAGUAAUACAUUUGAGUUGGCAGAUUUCCCAAGGUUUCUUUUGUGUAUGAGAAACAUAGUGCCUUGGGUCAUGGAAUAAAUAUAAGAGCCUCGGUAUCUAAUUUUGGUUGUUCACACUUCAAUUAGGGCUUAAGUCAUCCUAAGCUAGGCUUGGAAGAAAGAGACAUUGACAUUUAUAUUAGUUUAAUAAAUUUGGCAGCGGGGAGGUGCAAAGAAUGUUAUUUCAAUUAUAGAUUGACCCAUGAUUGAUUUAGCAACAUGCGUUGCUUAGGUUGUAAUCGAUGCCAAGUAAUGGCAGGUUCUGGACUCUUAGGAAGGUGGGCACAAAUGUUGGGGAAUUGAUCAAUGGAUGAGCUCCAUAUUGGCCUUCUACAGGGAGAAUAAAAAUACAAGUAAAAUAUUGUAAGAUGGGAGUGAUAGCACUGCAGAUGUUAACACAGCCUGUCCAAGCUUUUAUCCUUUGUACCUACGCAGCCAUUUUUUUAACACAUGGGACACUAUUCUUCAACAGAUUUGUUCUCUUCUAAGUUUGUUCUGAAUCUGUAGUGUGUGUCAUUUCACGGUGUUUUAAAGAGGAAAAGGCCUUGCUUCAGUUGAGAAGGCUUUGAUUUUUCCACCUACACAAAUACCCUGGCAUUCAGGGAAUUUGGCUAAUUUAAAAAAUUAUCUCUUAUAAUGCCUAGUUACUACCCCAGUUUGUGUUGGAGGUGGAGUAUACAAAGGAAUUACAACCCCCACUUUAUAAUCGGGAUAAGAGAGGUUGACAGACUUACCUUGCCUGGCCCAGUGCCAAGUGCCACGUGGUAUAGACUAAGAAUAGUUGCUUCUCACGAGGAGCUUAUUUAGUUUGAGGGAGGUUGUGUGCAAUCAAUAAUUAGGAAACAGGAUAGCCUGUGAGAAGAUGCUGAUUCUGAUGUGCAGGUAAGAAAUGUCACAGGAGGCUGAGCAGCACGGAUGGCUGUGGUGGGCAGCAAAGUCUCAGGAGAGAGGAGAAACUUGAGCCCCGCUGUGAAAGGCAGGGAGGAUAUAAAUAGCUGGUGGGCAGAGUGACCCAGGGCUGAAGGAUGCAAAUAGUGGCCAUCUUAAGUAAGAGCCUCAGGUCACAGAGAUAACAGUUCCCUGUAUAAAGACCUUAGUGGAAACCAGGUGAGUCUCAGGAAGUUUGGAAUCAAGAAGACUUUAAAAGAGUUGCACAGUGUUUCCAAGAUUAAAAUCUGCAAUGUGACAUAGUAUAGCUAAUAAUAUACAGUGUGUUCUUAGUCACAGGGUAUAUUUCUUUUUUUUUUCUUUCUUUCUUUUUUUUGAGACUGAGUUUCACUCUUGUUGCCCAGGCUGGAGUGCAAUGGCGCAAUCUCGGCUCACUGCAACCUCUGCCUCCCGGGUUCAAGCGAUUUUCCUGCCUCAGCCUCCCUGGUAGCUGGGAUUACAGGCAUGUGCCACCACGCCCAGCUAAUUUUGUAUUUUUAGUACAGAGGGGGGGUUUCUCCAUGUUGGUCAGGCUGGUCUCGAACUCCCGACCUCAGGUGAUCCGCCCCCCUCAGCCUUCCAAAGUGCUGGGAUUACAGGCAUGAGCCACCGCGCCUGGUCUUAAGUGGUAUAUUUCUUUGAGAAAUACUUUUUAUCAAGAAGAAAUCUCUGAAAUUAGAGCUCUGUCGAUCCAAACAAGCUAAUUAGGUGAGAAAAAGGAACUUUUCAAAAUCCUUUAACCAUCUGGUUGGCAUGUUUAAAAACUACAACCAAUCAUACUGAUAAAAGGGUAGUCUCUACAUUUGUGUCUUACCCUUGAACACUCCAACACUGGGUCGUUUUUGUAGACAGAGUAUAUAAAAUUUUCAUUCUAAGUAAGCUGACCAAACAGCUGAGUCUGCCUAGGAAGUCCUGGAUUAUGCUACUUGUCCCAGUAAAAUUAUUAAUAGCUUCCCCUUUCAGAAUCAAAAGUGUCCUGGUUUAGAUGAUAAAUUAUAUGGCUACCCUAAUUUUAAAUGAUGCACUUUAGUCUUUUUUGUUUACUCUGUGAGUUGUCAGUGGCCAAAAAAGAUGUUUCCAGCUUAAGAGUAUUUGCCCACAUGUGAAUCCUGUCUUUAUGAAAUAGUUGUAUUUUUUCCCUUGCACAGAAAGCAAUCAUUGCAAAAAAUUCAGAAGGAAAUGAAAGGCAUAAAUAAGAGUUAUAAGCCUAUAAAUAAGUGUUAAUAUUUUGAUAUAUAUAAUGCCACGCAUUAUCAAUAAUAUAUUUAUAUACCUUUAGAUCCCCAAUCUCCAAACCAAGCCACCUUAUAUAUAUUAAAUAUCUAGAACUAUAUGAUAACACAGCCAAUAUAGAUCAAUAUAAUCACUUUUUAAAUAAUUGCUUUUAGAGACUAUAAUAUUCUAGUGAUUGGUUCUUUAAUAUUUUUAACUAAUCCCCAGUUUUGGCGUUUAGGUUUUUCCAAUAUUUCUAUAUAUUAUUGACAGUGCUGCAGUAAAUGUUGUGUGUAGCUAAAUCUUUUUCCACAUCUACGAUUAUUUCUUUCUCUUUCUUUUUUUUUUUUUUUUUUUUUUUUUUGAGAUGGAGUCUUGUUCUGUUGCCCAGGCUCACUGCAACCUCCGCCUCCUGGGUUCAAGCUGUUCCCCUGCCUCAGCCUCCCAAGUAGCUGGGACUACAAGUGCCUGCCACCAGGUCCGGCUAAUUUUUUAUUUUUUAUUUUUUUGUAAUUUUAGUAGAGACAGGGUUUCACCGUGUUGGCCAGGCUAGUCUCGAACUCCUGACCCCAGGUAAUCCACCUGCCUCAGCCUCCCAAAGUGCUGGGAUUACAGGUUUGAGCCACCGUGCCCAGCCUAUGAUUAUUUCUUUAGGAUGCUUUUCUGUAAAUGGAAUUGCCAAGUCAAACUGGAUGCACAUUUACAAUUUUGAAAUUGCCAAACUUUGCCAGGGUGUAUGAGAAUUCCCAUUUCCUCAUGGCCUCAUAGGUGCCGUACGGAUGAUUCUUUUUCAUCUUUCAGUCUGAGGAGAGAAUUUCAUCUCCAGCUUGUUUCAGUUGUAUCUCUGCUUAUUGAUGAUUUGUAUUUCAUUUUUUUGUAAAUUGCCUACCUUUCUUUUAGAGUGUUCACCUUUCUCUUAAUGAAUUGUGAAAGCUCUUUAUAUUUUAAAUAAAAUACCCCUUUAUGUUAUAAAUUGCAAGAUUUUUUCCUGACUUGCUAUUUGUCUUUUAACUUUAUUUAUGGUAGAUUUAUGUGUAUACAGAUAAGGUAGAUUUACGUAGAUUCAGAAGUCUUUACUUUUUAUACAGUUAUAUCUAUCAGUCUCUUCCUUUACAGAGUUUUGUACUUUUUAAAAGGACCAGGUUUGCAACAAAAUUAACCUGUGAAACUUUUACAGUCUUAUCUGAUGCUCUAAAACCCUUGAUCUCCUUGUUUCAAACUUUAUAGUAUGGGCAUUGCACAUAGGUGAGAUAAUUUUUGUUUCCAUUUCCGUGGUUCAUUAUAUCCUUCAGAAGGGGUUUAGGCACUUUAGAAAUUCACAGAUAAGUCACUGCAAGUAAGAACUAGUGAUGAGCAUUCUUUUCCUCAACCACAAACCACACGUGCCUCUAUUUGUAUAAUAGAAGGCUGUAAUGGGAGUCAAAGGGACUAGUUUGUUGAGAAUGUUGCUGAAUUUAUCAUAUUGUCCCAUUGAUGUGCUUUAUAAUUGCACUGAUGUGUUUUCCAGAAAACUGUGGCACCAACCCAGGAUUCUAAUACAUAGUCAAGAAAAUGCUACAGCCUGUUGUAGCUCCUCCAAAGCAAGCAGCUCUCCAUGGAAUGGUGUCCCCAGGCUUCAUGGCAGAGUUAUUAUACCAUGGUCAGGAGGGCCUGCCCCACAAGUGCACAUCCCGCUCUAGCUAGGACCAUUGUGCCUGAGUUUGCAUCUGAAUUCCUAUGCUGGUGUCCUGGCUUGAACCACAUGUGAAUCUCAACCCCUUCUUUGUCUUUGAAGGUAGACUUGAGCACCCCGCUUUGCCCUUGACCCUUUACUAUGCCUGUUUGGCCUUCUCAAUGCUGACACCAGGGUUGGAGAGAGAAGAGAAUCUCCUCUUCCUCUCCACCUUAUAGUCUAUUAUAAGGUGGACUACCUUAUAGUAGUCCACUUAGUUGUCCUCAGCCUCGCCCCUGCUUGCAUCAGAGUCCCUUUUCUUGUGGACUGAGAGAGGGGAGGUCUUGAGCACCAUUACGGCACCACCGUGAUGCUGAGAUAGGGCGACUCACCUCGGCCCUCAGCUUUCAGAGCCUUUCCCCCUGCGCUCGCAGGGGGGACCCUGGGAUCUACCCCAGGUGCAAUCUCAGGGUGCCAAACCCCAUUAUCUCAUACCUUAAGAGAACUCCAUCAUGGGUGGGGUGUCUUGGGGAUGAGCACCAAGGAGUAAAUGUUUGGUUUUGAUAAGGAAUUAUGAAAAAGCAAUAAAUAUGCUAACUGUAGAAUAACCUGCUCCGACAGCAGAGAACCAGGUUUCUGAUCCAACUCUGGGGUCCAGACCAGGGGCUUGAGAAUAGUUUUUAUUAUGAAAUGACCCUGUUAGGAGUUUAAUUGGCCUCCUCCCAAGAUGCUGUACUUUUAUAUGAAGUGCAUCAGGGGUCCCUUCUAUUUGGAGAAGAUAAACUAAUUUCCUUCUGUCUAUCCAGUGCCAUUUGGUCUCCCUCUCCCAUCCUCCUAUUCAGUAGCCAAAGAACUAAUUUGGCUACAAUACAACCCUCUUCAGAGUGCUGGGGAGAGAGAGAAAUCAAAUAUGAGCAAAGCCCAUACCCUCUGUAGUGGGCAAAGCUCAUUUGUAAAUAAUUUUAGUCUUGUUGCUCAUUCAGUAAUUCUGUAUCCCUCCCAAUAGGUAUUGGCAGCGUGUCAGAUGGCCACCAGUUAUGAAGAGCUUCCCCAUUUCCGAAACCCCCCAGCUUCUCAAGGGUCUGUGAACUGGGGAAAACAGUUAUGCUAAAGGAGUCAUAGACCCGUUCUUUUCUCUUUUUGAGGGCUGGGGUGGGGAAUGGUAGAGUGGAAUAACAUCUUCUAUUCAUCUACUCAUUCAAGAAGCAUUUACAGAGCUCUCCUCUGUGGCAGGCCCUACCCGAGAGGUGGAAAAGAGAAAUCUGGACACAUCGUAUGUCUCAGUUUUCCAAAGGCAUUUCACGAAAUGAGUAAUAACCUCUGUUGAGCUGAAUGGUGGCCCCUGAAGAUAUCAGGUCCUAAUACUUGAAACCUAUGAAUGUUACCUUAUUUGGUAAAAGCUUUGUAGAGGUGAUUAAGUUGAGGAUCUUGAGUUGGAGAGAUUAUCCUGGAUUAGCCAGUUAGGCCCUAAAUGCCAUUAAAUGUAUCCUCGUAUAAGCAGGAGACAGAGAAAUAAUGACACACGCAGAGGAAUAGGCGAUGUAAAGAUGGAGCAGGAAAGAUUUAAAGAUGCUAGCGAUGGAGAUUGGAGUGAGGCAGCUACACACUGAGGAACACCACAGCCAGCGGGAACUGGAAGAGGUGGGGAACAGAUUCUCCCUGCAAAGCUGCUGGAGGAGUGAGGUCUUUUGGCACCUUGAUUUUGGCCCACUGAAACAGGUAUGGGACUUCUGGCCUCCAGAACUAUGAGAGAAUAAAUUUGUGUUUAUUGACUCUUCCAAACUUGAAGAAAAUGUGUUAUACAGUAGUCCCAGGACCAUCCUUGCAGGUAAAAUGGAGACAUGGGUCUAGAAGACAGUGCAAGUAGGUGUCAAGGUAUUUGACCAACUCUGUCUAUUAUUCAGUCACAUGGGAAAUACUGACUGACUACAGUGCUCCAGGCACUGGAGCAGUGGAUAAGGCAGACAAUAUCCCCACUGACACUGGGGUAGGGGGAAGGAGCAGGUAAUAAAUAGGUAAAUGAAAAAUAUGAACAAGGUAACUUUAGCGAUUGACAAGUGCCUUAAAGAAAACAAAACAGGAUAAUGUGGAAUGGGGGACGGGGAUCCUUUUAGACUAGGUAGUAGGAAGCCCUUUCUGGUGAGAAAGCCUUGGAGCUGAGUCCUGAAGAUCAUGAAGGAGCUACCAUCUGGAGGGAGAGCAUUCCAAGUGGAGUGAGUGGCAAGCACAGAGGCUAUGAGGUGGGAAUGAGCUUCCUGUGUGUGAGAAGCAAACAGAAGGCCCAGACCCCUCUAAGUCAACAGGGAGAUCAUUGCUCAGGGAGGGCUGUGGGAUUCUGUCCUAGGUUCUGCCCUGUACAAUUUUCAUUUUUUAUAAUUAAAUUGGAAGAAAACAUAAUGCAUCAUAAAUGUGCAGGCAAUAUAAAGCUUGUAGGAUGUGUAUUGGGUUAGAGUCAGGGGUUGAGUUUCAAAAUACCUUGACAGGCAUGAACAAAACAAUGAACUUCAACAGGGACAAAUUGUGAAGUCCUGACUUGGGUCUGAGAAAAAGUAUUUGCCUAAGUCAAGAAUGGGAACCUGAUUUGAGUGUGGUACUGGUGUGAAGUCCCUGAAGCUGAGUGUCAGCACAUAGCAUGAUGUGACUGCCAUAAAAAAGUCAAGCACUUUUACAACUUUUUUAAACUGUGGGGUACAACUCCAGGGAGGAAGUAGCCAGGGGUCUGUUUGUGGAGGACUGAGUGGGUAUCACAUUUUAUGGGGUCACAGAAACAGCUCAUUAUUUGUUUAUUCAUUCAAUUAAUAAAUGCUUAAUGAGCACAUAUUAUGUGCCUGGCACUGACUAGGCUUUGGGGUAAAUAACAGUGAAUAGGAUAGAAACAUUUGAUGACUUCAUAGAGGUGACAUUCUAGGGAGAAGAUAGACAUGGCAGAUUUAAUUAUACACAUAUCUUUUUCACUGUAUUAGAUUUUUUCAGACUAUAAAAUUAUAGUAAUAAAAUAGCAAUAUCAAAUAUUACUGAAAUACAUAACAUAGGAAAAAAUAUGCCCUGUCAAUUCAUCCUCCCUCCCCAGACGUAGCCACUGUCAACCAGUUUGUGCAAGUUUUUGUAACUUUUAAAAACAUACAUGCAAUGUAUUUUUAAAGCAUAAAAGGGGAAUCAUACACUUCUGAAUUUUGUUUUUUAGCUUCAUAUAUCUGGGAUAUCCUCUCACAUGAACACAAGGAAAUCUACCUCAUUCUUUUUAAUGUCUUAAUAAUAUUUCAUGCUAUGGAUGUAUUAUAGUUUAUUUGACUAAUAUCUUGUUGAUAUGCAUACCGUUUCCAUUUUCACUAUUAUAAGGAUUUGCAAACAAUUGUUCUACAUACCUUUUUAUAUAGCCUGUGGUCAUAUUUCUAAAGCACAGAUUCAGAGACGUGGGAAUACUGGCUGGGCGUGGUGGCUUACGCUGGCUCACUAUGACAUCUGUAAUCCCAGCACUUUGGGAGGGUGAGAUGGGCGGAUCACGUGAGAUCAGGAGUUUGAGACCAGCCUAGCCAACAGAGCAAAACCCCGUCUCUACUAAAAGUAUAAAAAUCAGCUGGGUGUGGUGGCAUGUACCUGUAAUCCCAGCUACUCAGGAGGCAGAGGCAGGAGGAUUGCUUGGACUUAGGAGGUGGAGGUUGCGGUGGGCCAAGAUCACGCCACUGCACUCCAGCCUGGGCCACAGAGCGAGACUCUGUCUUGCAAAAAAAAGAAAAAAAAAAGAAGUGGAAAUACUGUGUCAAAAGGUAUGGAAAAUUUAAAUGAUAGAUACCACGUUUCUUACCAUUCAGGAUGUACCUCAGUGAGAGUGCAGUUGAGAUCACAUGUUUUCUUGCAACCUCAACAUUCCAGGCAGUGUAGACAGUGCAAAGGUCCUGUGGUAGAGGGAACCUGGUGUAUCAGCAGGACUGAACAGAUUCCCUAGGGGCAGAGAGCAGAGAGCCAGGUAGGGAGUGAAGAGGGAGGCAUGGGCCAGACCUUGCAGGGCCUUGCGAUUCAUCUUGAGGGUUUUGGUUCUUAUCCCAAGAGAAAGGAGAAGCCAAAGGGAAUUUCAUGCAAGCUGACAUGAUGAGAUAGGCAUUUUGAACAGGUACCUCUGGCUGCCGUACAGGCAAUGGACUGGGAAGAUGGAAAAGUAGAUGUGAAGAGCACCUGGGGUAGCUAUUUUGGGAGUCCAGGUGAGAGAUGAUGGUAGCCUGGACUCGGGUGGAGGCUGGCCAUGGAGAGGAGUGGCUACAUUUAACAGUUUUUUAGGCCACAGAACUGAUGGAAGCUGAUGCCUAAGUGGGCUUAGGUGGGGACUGAGGAAGAAGGCAGUGUCCUGGAAGAAAGAUGGAAUGGGAGUUAUCAUUGGGAUGAUGAGAUGUCAAAGGAGCAGGUGAUGAUUGGCCAAAAAAGUGAAGAUCCAGAGGAGAUAUCUGCUUUAGAGAGCAGCCUUUGCACCCUUGUCUCUCAUGCCCACAGCUCUAUCAAAGGCAGGCUGACCAUGGGAUUCUGCCACCCUGGCCACAGCUGAGGAGUGGGAAAGUACCUGAGCCGUGGCCAUAACGUGGUCUGGAGUGAAAGCCUGCCCAUGAAGGGGACAGUGCCAAAUGGAGCUGAUGAGAUGUCCUUCAUGGAGUUUGAAGGAGAACCCAAGUGAGGGACAAUGUUUGGAGCUGGGGAGUCAGAAGAAGGGCCACACAAGGAGAGGGCAGGAAAUGGAAGUCGUAAGUUAAAGUCACAAGGAAACAAGGAGAGAAGAGAGAAGCAGGUGCAGGAGAAGGGGCUGAAGACCCAUAUAGCGCUAGAGAGGGAUGGAUGACCUCUGUUCCCAGUAUGGCUGAGUGCUUAAGAGUCAGUCUGUCAAGCUGAGCAGAUCUGAGUUUGAUUUCCCACCUCUUGUGCUAACUAGCUCAGUGACCUUGAACAAGCCACCCAACUUCUCUAAGAUUGUUCUGUUCAUAGACAUUAAAGUAUUUAUUUCUCGGAGUUGUUGUGAGCUUUAAAGAGAUGUGCAUGAAUACCAAAGAAGAUAUUCACAACACAAAACCAGCAGAGAACUGGUCUCCAGACUUUUUUAAAAAAACAAAAGUCUCUUACAAAUCAGUAAGAAAAAGGCAGGCAGCCCAGUAGAUAAACAGGCAAAAUACUUGAACAGACACUUAACAAAAGAGGAUAGUAAAAUGGUCAAAAAAAAUGAAAAGAUGAUCAAUGUCAUUAAUAAAGAGAAACACAGUGAGAUUCCAUAUGCAACAAUGUGGACGAAUCCUAUGAACACAACGUUGAGCUAAAGAAGCAGCAUAGAGAUGAAUGCAUAAAGUAUGAUUCAAUGUAUUUAAAGUUUAAAAGAACCAGGCAUUAAAAUUCCAAUUAAAUAUUUUAUACUCUCAUCAGAGAGGCAUAUGUGAAAAAUCGGAUGAUACCAACUGUCGGUGAGGAUACAGUACAACAGGAAAUCUAUAUGCUGCUGAUGGAAUUUAGGUUAGUAUAACCAUUUUGGAAAACACCUUGGCAUUAUCGAAUAAAACUAAAAACAUGUAUGGUACACAACCCAGUAAUUUUGUUCUUGGGUGUAUGUAUAUAAGAGGAACUUUUCACAUAUACCAUGUAUACAUAUAUAUAUAUGUGUAUGUAUGUGUAUAUACAUAUACACACAUACAAGCAUGUCCAUAAUUUUAUUGCUAUCAUGGCCUCAGAAACUGAAAAUAUCCAUCAACUGUAGAAUGAGUAAGUAGAUUGUGAUAUAUUCACAUAAUGGAGUACUAUACGGCACUGAGAGGGAAUUAACUAUGCUAUAGAGAACAAUAUGAAUGAAUCUUAUAAACAUGAUGUUGAACAAAAGAAAUAAUAUGUAUUAUUUUACUUUAGAAUUCAAAAAUAAGCAAAACUAAACUAUAAAUUAUAUAAUAUAGUUAUAUAUUGAUAUUAUAUAGCAUAGACUGUUGAGGAAACUAUAAAAAAAAGUAAGGAAACAAUAAUCACAAACAUCAGAGUAGUGGUUACAUCUAGGAAGGGAGGGGCCCUGGGGCCUGAAGGGAGUGCUCAGAGUGAGAGGACUCUGCAGUGCUUGAGCAUUUUCUGUUUCUUGACAGAGCAGGUAGUUACACAAGUGUUUGCUUUGUGAUUGUUCAUUAUACUGUAUAUUUGUUUUGAACACUCUAAGAGUAUUUUAUUCCACAAUUUAAACAGGUUUUUUUUUUUUAAAAAAAAAAAGAUAGCUAACACUUGUAAAAUGCUUGGCAUAGUGCCUGGCCCAUAUUAAGAGCUCAACAGAUGGCAAUUUUAUUUACUGGUGUAACCCAGUUGUUAGAGCCACAUUGUAUCCUAAGCAACCUUCCAGCUCCUGAACCAGCUCUAGUCUCCAUGCGGUCUGGCUUUGAGGUUGAGAUUCCAGAUCCCUCUGUUUCCCAGGCUGGCCCCAAAUAAACCCUAUUACUUAAGGCAGUGCUUUUCAAUGGAUAUGUGAUGGUUUAUUUUAUUGCCUUAAAUGCUUCCCAAGUGAGCUGCAAUGUAUAAGAUUUUUUGGGGGAGCAUUUCUGUUAUUAUACAGUUCUAGAAAGCUAGAUUGCUAAUUGAGCACCGCAUGAUGUGGGAUAGAGUCAGAGUCUAGCCUGCUGCAGGUCAGAGUUCAGGCAGCAGAGGUGGAACCUGAUGGCAAUGUAGUGCCAAAGAAAAAAGACCUGGGUUUCAAAGACAGAAGCUAUUAGGGAAGUAAAGACACACUCAAAUAGCAGUCAUGUGGAUGGGGACCAGAGGAAUCCCAGGACAAUUGUGGAUACCAUUUUAAGCCUUCAAGUGUGUAACCCCAAAUUCUAGCAUUCCACAGAAAGAGUGACAAUCACUGAUUUAAGGUAGUCUGAGAAUGUGUAUUCCUUGCAAGCCUAAUAAAGAAGUUGCCAUUUCAUAGUCAUCAGAAGGGUUGUUGUAUACAAUAGCUAAUGAUAAUACUAGCUAAUAAUUAUUGGGUGCUCAACAGAAGCCAGGCACUGUGCUAAUAUUUCAUUCUUACCUCAACCCUAGGAGAUAGGUACUGUUAUCUCCCUUUCAGUAGAUACAGCUGAGGCACGGGGGAGUUCAGUAACUUGCUGAAGGUCACGCAGCUGGUAAAUGCUAGAGCCAGGAAGAAGGAUCAUUCUUAGUCUCUAGUUCUAGAAGCAAGGGUGUGGCCCAGGGUUUAGGAGUUAGAUGGAAGGACAUUUUGCUAACAGUAAGCAAAAACAUGCCAACAGGCCAAUCCAACAUUGGAAUGGGGAGUUUUAGAAAAUAGCAAAUUCUCUCUAAGCAGCAUGACUAUCAAAUAUGUUUUAGAAGAGAUUUUUGCGUUGGGUAGCAGGUUGGACUAAAUGCCUUUCAAGGUCCUUCAAAGAACCCAAGAUUAAAAGUUUAGAUCUUGGUAGAGCUUCAGAUUGGGAGCUGGACUGUAUGCUUUUUAUUUUAUUUUUUAAUUUGAACUUCCAAACUCCAAUGCAUACCCUGAUGCAUAAACUAUGUACACUUUUUAUUUUGAUGUUCAUGAACUUCUCAGAACUCUUGAGGCAUGGUAAAAUUAUUUUCCCUAUGUGGUUUUUUUUUUUUUUAAGUCUUUUAGCUGACGGUAGUUGUGUAGCAUCUUUCUGACCAGCAAGAAAAUGCCUUUCUAAUCUCUAGAAGAGAAAUCGUUUGCAUAAGGUGUUCUCCCACAUUUAUGUCUUUAAUUUCAGAUGAGAGGCACUGAUCUUUUCAUAAGGACUUUCCUGCUACACCUCCCACAAAUGGUGUGUGUCUUGUGAACUCUAUAGGUGUGGCAUUGAUAAUGGUGUUUGAUAGUGUUUGGGCUGUUCAGAAUCUGCCCUUUAUACUGAAAUGAUAUGUCUAGCUUUGUUUCCAGGAUUACAGAAACUUCUUUGGUCUAUUUCUGUGACUGCAUUCAGUGGAGACACAUUACUUUCUGCUUUUCAGAGCCUGAGACCACCUUCCAGGACAAUGGAGGCAUAAGGUGGCAUUUCUAGUUGGAGUUGGUGCUGAUUGAGCCUUUGCCAUUACUUGGCAAAAUUAAUUUGGUUGUGGUUGGUUGUUUGACCCGGGGGUGGCAUUUUUCCAUGGGCAGAAUAGUAGAGCUGAGUUGCAUAUAGUUGUUUUUAAGGUCUUUGGAUAAUAACCAUUUUAACCAAAUGUGUAGAGGCUUUGAAAUUGCCAUAUGUGCAACUUAAGUUAUCAUUUCACAUACAAGUAGUUCAUUAAAUAUAUUAAUUGAGUUUAUUGAACAUAUGCUUUUAAAAAUAGACUUUGUAUUUUAGAGCAGAUUUAGGUUCACAGCAAAACUGAGCAGAUAGUACAGAGAUUUCUCAUAUACCCACCCACUUGCAUAGACUCCCAGCUAACAACAUCCCCUACCAGAAGUGGUACAUUUGUUAGAGUUGAUGAAGCAACACUGACACCUCAUUAUCCCCCAAAGUCCACCAUUUAUAUUAGGGUUCACUCUUGGUGUUGUACAUUCAGUGGGUUUGGACACAUUUUUAAUGACAUGUAUCCACCAUUAUAGUAUCAUACAGAGUAGUUUACUGCCCUACAAAUAGUUUGUGUUCCACCUAGGCAUUCCUCCCACCGUUCUAAUCCCUGGCAACCUUUUUUUUUGUUUUGUUUUACCUUCUCCAUGGUUUUGCCGUUUCCAAAAUGUUGCAAAGUUGAAAUUAACAGUAUGUAGUCUUUUUCAAUUGGCUUUUUCACUUAGCAAUAUACACUUAAGUUUCCUCAAUGUCUUUCUGUAGCUUGAGACAGCUCAUUUCUUUUUAGAGCUGAAUAAUAUUCCAUUGUCUGGAUGUACGGCAGUUUACUUAUCUGUUCACCUACUGAAGGAUGUCUUGGUUGCUUCCAAGUUUUGGCAGUUAUGAAUAAAGCUGCUAUAAACAUCCACGUCCAGGUUUUUGUACGGACAUAAGUUUUCAACUCUUUUGGGUAAACACCAAGGAGCAUGCUUGCUGGAUCGUAUGGUAAGAAUCUAUUUAUUUUUGUGACAAAUUGCCAAUCUGUCUUCCAAAGUGACUGUGCCAUUUUGCAUCUGCACAGCAGUCAGUGAGACUUCCUGUUGCUCCACAUCCUUACCAGCAUUUGCCAUUGCUGGUGUUUUGGAUUUUGGCUUUUCUAAUAGGUGUGUAGGGGUAUCUCAUUGUUUUAAUUUGCAUUUCCCUAAUGACAUAUGCUAUGGAGCAUUUUUAUAUGCUUUUUUGCUAGCUAUAUAUCUAUAUAUAGCUAUAUAAAUAUGUAUUUUUUAUUUCAAUAGUUUUUGGGGUUCAGUUGGUUUUUGGUUAAAUGGAUGAAUUGUAUAGUGGUGAAAUCUGAGAUUUUAUUGUACCUGUCACCCAAGUAGUGUACCCAAUGUGUAGUUUUUCAUUGCUCUCCCGCCUCCCCCUUACCUCCUUCUGAGUCUCCAGAGUUCAUUACACCACUGUGUAUACCUUUGCAUAGCCAUAGCUUAGCCCCUAAUUAUAAGUGAGAACAUAUGGUAUUUGGCUUUCCAUUUCUGAGUUACUUCACUUAGAAUAAAUGGCCUCCAGCUGCAUCCAAGUUGCUGCAAAAGACAUUAUUUUAUUCUUUUUUAUGGCUGAGUAGUGUUCCAUGGGGUGCACCUGUGGAUAGCCUUUCCUGAACACUUCAGUGGGGCUGCCUCUCCACAGGCAGCGUGCCCUCCAGGUGCAGGCUUGCGUGAGGGGUAGAGUCACAAUCCAUCUCAACAUGGAACAUCAGCCUUCCUGCAGAUGAAAAGAGGUGUCUGUCUGAUCUGAAUAGCUGGGACACUGGGUCAGGAGUGUGACUAGGAGGUGGAUCACUUUCAGGGGAGCUGAGGUGUCCCUCCCUUCCUUCUGAGAAGACCUCAGUGCAUUUCACUGAGAGCUCCCUCAGCUGCCUCUAUUAGGGCUGGGACCUCUACCCAUCAUUGGGUAUUGCAUUUACCCACUUUGCUUUAGCCACCAAUUUUUUUUUUUUUUUUUUUUGAGACAGGGCCUCACUCUGUCACCCAGGCUGGAGUGCAGUGGUGCAGUCUCAGCUCACUGCAACCUCUGCCUCCCAAGUAGCUGGGAUUACAGGUCUGUACCACCAUGCCUGGCUAAUUUUUGUACUUUUGGUAGAGACAGGGUUUCACCACGUUGCCUAGGUUGGUCUCGAACUUCUGAGCUCAAGCAAUCUGCAUAUCUCAGCCUCCCAAAGUGCUGGGAUUACAGGCGUGAGCCAUUGUGCCCGGCCACCACAAUCGGUUUUUACCUGUGGACACCUCCCCUUCUGGCUGGAAGCUCAACCUGUUCAACCCAGUAAAUAAAGUGCUAGGGAAAAAAUUAAAAAGUGCAUACCACUGGAGAACAAGAUAAGCUUUGAAAGACCUCUGCCAUUCUGACCCCACAGGAGACAGUGAGCACAUUGCUGCUACAACCAGCAGCUGAGAAAGCCACCAUACAAAGACUCUGUAUAACCAAGGAACUCACACAGAGUCUUCACCCCUGAAAGCACCAGGAGCGGAAUUAGGUGAUAAUGAACUGUGUCUUUUUUUAUGAGGUGUCUAUUCAGAUCUUUUGCCAGUUUUUCAACUGGGUUGUUCGUAUUCUUAUUGUUGAGUUUUUAAGAGUUCUCUGUAUAUGUUAGGUAAAAGUUCUUCAUCAGAUGUCUUUUGUAAAUAUUUUCUCCCAGUCUGCAGCUUGUCUUCUCAUUCUCUCGAAUAUACACUCCUCUGACAGUGCUCUGUUAGAUGUUUUAUGGGCAUAGAAAUUAUAUUUAGCACAGAAUUUCUCCCUUUCAAGUUGCUCUCAUUCUUAUUGGCAAAUACCUAUUUCCUGGGUGCAGAAAGAUCCCCAUUGCUGUUUCCUAUUGGCUACUCAUGAAGCUCUUAAGUGGAUCGUGGGAGUAGUAAACACUCCAGAUAAUUUGUUUAUUUGGGAAACUUGCUUGGAUAGUGUUUUAUGUCAGAAUUCUAUGACAAACUGUGCUUUGGUGACUUAUGUAUUCAGACUCUGACUUAUCUGGGAAGACAAAAUGUCAUUAGCAUUCUAAGAAAUAUUAAUGACUGCUAUUUAUAUACCCCAUCCACACCACUUUCACUGGCAUCUGGCAUUGAUGAUUGUGAAGUAUUGAUGACUUUUCCAAAUAAGAUGGAAUAUGGCAAUUUGGUAAAGAGCAAACAUUUUUAUUUUAUCUGGGGUUAAUUUUUUGUAUUUUGAAAUAUUCAAAAAUACUUAGUAGAAGGGAUCAUUUCUUUUUUCUUUUCCUUCUUUUUUUUUUUUUUUUUUUUUUUGAGAUGGAGUCUCCAGGCUGGAGUGCAGUGGCAUGAUCUUGGCUCACUGCAAGCUCCGCCUCCUGGGUUCACACCAUUCUCCUGCCUCAGCCUCCCAAGUAGCUGGGACUACAGGUGCCCGCCACCACGCCCAGCUAAUUUUUUGUAUUUUGUAGUAGAGAUGGGAUUUCACCGUGUUAGCCAGGAUGGUCUUGAUUUCCUGAUCUUGCGAUCCACCCACCUUGGCCUCCCAAAAUGCUGGGAUUACAGGCAUGAGCCACCAUACCUGGCCACAGAAGGGAUCAUUUCUAAAUAGCACAGAAUCACAGGGAGUACACCUCAUGUGACUUCACGUUUAGAGUCAGCAUUUGCUUAUAAUGAAUUACGUAUCAGUAAAUGAACAUGACAUGCUUCAACUUCAAUAAUAUUAAACAAAACUCUUUCAGUGUGCUUAUUCAUAGAUGAAAAACAGGGCCUGAAAACCCAGUGUGACUUGGGUGUCAUAUAUCUUCAGUUUGGAUGCACUAUAUCAGUGCUAAUCAAUAAAGGCCAGGAAUGAUUUUGGAGUAUAACGUCCAGCCUUAAAUCUUAAAUGAAAGUGAAAUUCAAACACUUAGCCCAGCAGUAGAAGAACAAACACUAGUGAGACAGUAUAAUUUGUUAAGACGAACAUGGGCCGGAUCCAUUAUCUAAUAUAUGUGUCCUCGACGGUAUGUACCAUCUCAAAGAGGAAGAAAUAGUCAAGGUACCCAAAUGAGCCAUUCCUCAGAGACAGCCAAAGAGCUCUGAGAGAGAGCAAGUGUGGGCAAGAAAGAGGGGACAUUUGUGUCCCUGACCAUGAACAUAUGCUGAGUCACCCAACUGCAGGUCCAUUUUUUUGGUGAGACUGAUAUAAAUGUUCUUCCAAACUGGCCAAGCUGCAAGGUUUCCAAAAGCAAAGCUUAAGGCUGGACGCAGUGGCUCCCACCUGUAAUCCCAGCACUUUGAGAGGCUGAAGUGGGAGGGGCUUGAGACCAGCCUGGGCAAUGUAGCGAGACCCCAUCUCUACAAAAAAAUGCAAAAAACAAAACAAAACAAAAACCCGAAACAAGCAGGCACAGUGGCUCACACCUGUAAUGGCAGCACUUUGGGAGUCUGAGGCAGGUGGAUCACUUGAAGUCAGGAGUUUAAGACCAGCCUGACCAACAUGGUGAAACCUGUCUCUACUAAAAAUACAAAAAUUAGCCAGGCAUGGUGGUGUGCACCUGUAAUCCCGGCUACCUGGGAGGCUGAGGCACGAGAGUCACUUGAACCUGGGUGGUGGAGGUUGCAGUGAGCUGAGAUCAUGCCACUGCACUCCAGCCUGGGCAAUAGAGCAAGACUCUGUCUAAAAAAAACCCAAAAAACAAACAAAAACCAAAACAAAAACAGAGCUUAAAAAGCAAGACUUGCACAACAUUAGGACUAGGAGGUAGCUGUGGCCAGGGCUCUGUGUAAUGCAAAGAUUAUGUCUAUAGGACCUCUGCAGGCCUGGGUUUUACUCCUAGCUGUGUCCUUACUAGUUAUAUCACCUUGGGCAACUUAUGUAAACCCCUGAGCCUCAGUUUCUUCAUUUGUAAAAUGGGAAUAACAAUUUCUGCCAUUCAGUACUGUUGCCUAGAUGAGUGAUAAUUUGUGUCAAAUACCUGGCACAUACUAGGGACUCAAUAAAUUUUAAGUACAGUAAUGUCACUUAACAAUGGAGAUAUGUUCUGAGAAAUGUGUCAUUAGGUGAUUCCAUCACUGCGCAAACAUCAUAGAGUGUACCUACACGAACCUAGAUGCCUACUACCCACCUAGGAUACAAAUCUGUACAGCAUAUUACUGUACUGAAUACUGUAGCAACUGUAACACAAUGUUAAAUAUUGAUGUAUCUAAACAUGUAAACAUAGAAAUGUUACAGUAAAAAUAUGGUAUUAUAAUCUUAUGGGACCACUGUUGUCUUUGUGGCCUAUCACUGAUUGAAACGUUAUGUGGUGCAUAAUUAUAAUUUUAAAAAAUCAUUCAGACCUAAUGUAUGCAUUUAAUGACUCCACUCUAAGGAAAGCCCAAAUGCACUUAAAUAUACUUUUGUUUAUACUGCUUUCAUUGGAAAUGAAAUGCCAUGUCAACUAUGAUGCUUUCAGUUGUAAGUAGCAAAACUGCCAACUCAAACUAGCUUAAAAAAUAAAGUGAAUUUAUUGGUUCAUGUAACUGGAAAGUCUCAUGAAAAUGUCAGCUUCAGGAGAAGCUUGACCCAGCAGCUUCACGAUGUAUGGAAAUACCUGGGUUUUUUGUUUCUGCUCUGCUACUGUGGUAUCAGCUUUAUUCCAAGUCUGGCUUCCUUUGUUGUUGCAAAAUGCUUGUCAGAAGAAGCCUGGGUCCACCUGUUAGGAUUAAGUUUACUCUGUAUGCUGUAGUAGUGGCUAUGACAAGAUAGAAGUGUAUUUCUCCUCCAUAUAAAAGAAAUCCAGAGAUAGGCAGUCCAGGGAUGGUAUGUGGCUCCACUAUGUCAUGGACCCAGACAUUUAACUUGAUGCUCCACGUCCUAAGGUAUGGCUCCUUUUCUCAAGUUCACCUCAAGUUCCAAAAUGACUGCUAGAGUUCCAGCCAUUACAUCUGCAUUCUAGGCAGGAGGAAGGGGCAGAAGAAAGGCUUGCCUCUUCUCUUUUAAGGAGGCUCAUUGGAAGUGCCACACAAUCCUUUGCUUACAGCUUAUUGGCUGGCACAUGGGGUAGUUGCCAGGGAGACUAGGAAAUAAAGUCUUUUGUUCCCCCUCCCAUCCUCAGUUCCUUUUGCACUGUGCUAAACAAUUCUAGGACUUUUAACAGAACUCUUCAUAAAAGUCUUGAAUUUUAUUGUAUUUAUUUAUUUUUGAGAUGGAGUCUUACUCUGUCACCCAGGCUAGAGUGCAGUGGUGCUAUCUUAGCCCAUUGCAACCUCCAUCUCCCACAUUCAAGUGACUGUCCUGCCUCAGCCUCCUGAGUAGCUGGGACUACAGGCGUGCACCACCACACCUGGCUAAUUUUUCUCUUUUUUUUUGUAGAGACAGGUUUCACCAUGUUGGCCAUGGCUGGUCUCAAACUCCUGACCUCAGGUGAUCUGCCUGUCUCGGCCUCCCGAAGUGCUGGAAUUACCACUGUGAGCUACCAUGCCUGGCCAAAAAUCUUGGGUUUUAGAUCCCUUCUUUAUUUUUUUGGAUCUUUUCUGAAUCUUCUCCAGUCUUUCCUGAUUCACAAGGGGCACAGUCAUAAGCCAGGAAAUCCCUAAACCUUUAUAUACUUUAGUUUCCCCAUCUAUAAAAAGAUAAAAAGAUAAUUGUAGCUACCCUUUUUCCUCCAGAGAUUAAAUAAGAUGCAUGCAUGCUUGAUGCAGUGAACAUUUAAUGAAGGUUAAUAAAUGUAAUACUUUGUGAUUCAUGGGUCCUGUCUCCUAUUUGUGUUUUUAUCUAUCAUGCUUGUUUCUUUACCUGAAACCUCCAAAUCUCUUCUUGCUCAACCGCAGCUUCUGCUUCUGUAAUUUGUUUUUCUCCCUUUAGAAAUGCUUCAUAAUAAGCGCCUUUGAGUCUAUUUCUGACUUCAUCUCGAAUUUGCCAAGGUAGUUUUUUCAGUGUCUGAAAAUAUGACAGUAAGAGAAAAUGAUUCAGGAGGGCAAAGAGCAGAAAAGCAGCUAUAAAGAGUGGGCAGAGGGGAAGGGGAGCGUUGGCCUCUCCCUGGGAGCUCCAGGCUCCAUGUGCACACACAGGCUCAUCCCCGCUUCUGUCAAGCUCUUGUUCCCAGGCUGAGUUACUUAGAAAAGGAAGAAGAAUGUUUCCUAUUUGUUCAUGUGAAUUCACUUAAGAAACACAUCCUCAGUGAUUAGGCGUUAGAGCUAAUUUGUCUACAUGCAGCUUAGAGUUAAGCUUGGGAAUUUAUUUUAUUUGAAAUUCAAAGGAUGAAGCCCUCUUUGUCUUAAGGAGCUGAGAAACACAGCUCAACUGCGUCUAAGAUGGUUUGUACUCACUGUCUUCCUCCCUUCUUGCUUCGGCAAGGAUGGAAGGGCUGGGAGGAUUUGCAUUCAGUUUCUCAUGCAAAGAGCUCCUCACGGAAUUCCUGCCCUUUGCAUAUGCUGGACAAGACCAAGAUUUUCCAGGGCGCUGCUUGCAGUUGUGUUCAUAACUGUGGGGUGAGAUAAUAGCUAACAUCAAUUGACGGUCACUAGAAGCAUUUGCAUGUAUAAUAACAGUAACAGCCAACACAUAAAACGGUGCCUACUAUGUGCCAGGCGUAGUUUAAAUUAUUUUGUAUACCUCAACCAAUUUUAUUCUUUCAUACUCCUCUGAAGUAGUAAUUACCGUUACCUACAUUUUACAGAAAGGUUAAAUGUGGGCUCAGAAAGUUUAAAUCACUUGCUCAGGGUUAUAUUCAGCUAGUGUCAGAGCCUGGAUUCAAACUGAUCAUAUGGCUCUGUGCUCUUUUUCUUUUUUUUUUUUUUUUUUUGUUUUUGUUUUUGUUUUGAGACAGAGUCUCGCUCUGUGCUCUUAACUGGUACAUUCUACCAUCUUCCUAGGAGGGGGUUUUAGUAUUAAUAUUCUUAUAAAAAGGAGACUGAGGCAGGGAGAGAGGAAGGAAUCCUGGAUUCCAGUGUAGGCAGGAGGCUCCAGAGCCUGGGUCUUCUUUGCUACCUCCUCCAGGGAAAUGCGGAGACAUCUCCACAUCCAGCACUUCACAUAGGAAGUACCCUGAGGACCACAUGGGAUGACAUAACCCAUCUGGAGUAACUAGUGGCAUGGUGCAGGGUGCAGAGCUGUGCUUGAGGUGCUCCCUAAACCCCAUCAGUCCUGAUACUGCUUCUGGGGCCUUGGAGGGGAGUAAGGGAGGCCAGUGUUUGGGGGACAGAAGGCGGCAGCCCUGUGAUCAACAAAAUCAUGUUUCUGGCACCAGGAGCAGAAUUCAUGUGUGCUUUUACUGCUUCCUGUGCUCUUCCUCAUUUUACCCCAGGGUCAUUGGUCAUGGUGUCCUGGGACCCUCUGGGGGCUUGGAGCAUCAAUACCACAACCAUAGUCCCACCUGUUAAGUAAGAGAACUAGCCAGGGAAGACAUCAUUUAAAGUGUAAUUUAUUUAUUUGUAUCUUGCCUUGCUCCCCAAAGCUUUUAUGACAGGAUACAGAAAUGCUUCACAUACUGGAAGAGUUCCUCAGUUAGGUGUGUGUGUGACAGUGUGGCUGCAAUCCCAGCUCUCCUUCUCUCCUUCCCAGGAACCAUGGACAAGUGCCAGCAUCUUUCUGGCACCGGAUUUUUCUGCCUCUAAUGUGGGAAUGAUGUCUUCCCAGUAGAAUUAGGGUAGACAUUAAUACCAGUUCACGUAAAGUUCUAGCACUAGCCUGGACCACAGAGGUGCUCAGUGGAUAAUUAUUAUUAUUACAAGGCAUAGAAUUAUUUAACGGAAAGAAAUCAAGGGGUGAGGUAAUAAAAUAGAGCCAAGAAUGAGGUCCAUACAAAAAUACCUACUAUGAAGUCAUACUCACUUUGUCAGGGCCAGUGUGAUGAGAGAAACCUGAUUAUUAAAUCAUUCACGAUGUUCACAAGAGGAAAACAGUGGGCUCAGGAGAGGCAACCGCUCAGAAGGAGCUCUUUAGAGGCCUUCUGAGAAGGGCACUGUGCAACGUUAUAAACUGUUCUCAACAACUUCCUCAGAAUAAACCCAGUGAUAAGUGCCACCGGCUUCCCUUUAAUAGAGGCUAAUGGCAACAAGCCACAGCAUCAGCCAAUAGAAACCAUUCCUGAGAGCCAGCAUCAUAGAGUCCAGGCACAGUGCUUGCAGGGGCUGUGAUUUAACCAGGGGCAACAACAGCGAGUGCUUACUGAGCGUCAGGAGGGCCAGUGAGAGCUCUGAGCCCUCUGCAUGGAUCACCUCGCUUAAGUCUUACAACACCCAUAUGAGAUUGUAAUAUGGUCAUCCCCAUUUUACAGAUGAGUAAACUGAGGCCCAGAAAAGCUAAGAAAGUUUCCCAAGGUCACUGAGCUCAUGAUCCCUAAGCAGCGUUCAAACCCAGGCAGUCAGGCAGGCAGGCAGGCUGGCUCUGGAGCCUGUGCCACUGCCCUCUCUGGUAACUGAUUAGGACCAAAUAUCCCUGUGAUAGUCCUUCAUAAAGGCUGUCCUUGACAGCUGAGCCUUUGACAAAUCUUGGGCAGCAGUGAGUUUAAGGAAAUGUGUGAAUCCUGAUGAGUUCCUGAGGGGCCAACAUUCUGGAGGGCUAGUUACUGUGGAGCCGUAUGCUUUACCCGUGGGCCGAGAUGGGAUAGGAUCGACAGACUUCCGCUCAGGGUCCCAGUAUGGGCUCUGGCUUGAACUGAAGGUGAUCCAUGAGCUGGGUUCAGAAAAGGGGGUAGGCAAAUAGGGAAGCAAGGCCAAAGUGCACCUAGAAAGUAAGCUCCAGUCCACUCCAGUGCACAGACAAAUGGAUGAUUGAGAACCCACAGUUCAUGUAUCAGGGCUGCCAUAAUUUUAAUCGGAAAAAUUCUUUAAGGCAGUUAAGUUUCUGUUCUGGCUAUAUUUUAAAAAAUAAUGAAUAGGGCCAGGGGCAGUGGUUCACACCUGUAAUCCCAGCACUUUGGGAGGCCGAGGUGGGCAGAUCACUUGAGGCCAGGAGUUCGAGACCAGCCUGGUCAGCAUGGCAAAACCCCAUCUCUGCUAAAAAUACAAAAAUUAACUGGGUGUGGCGGUGGGUGCCUGUAGUCCCAGCUACUCGGGAGGCUGAGGCAGGAGAAUCGCUUGAACCCGGGAGGCGGAGGUUGCAGUGAGCCGAAAUCGCACCACCACACUCCAGCCUGGGCAACAGAGCAAGACUCCGUCUCAAAAACAAAAAAUAAUUUUAUAUGUGUGUAUAUAUAUAUGUAUACACAUAUAUAAGUGUAUAUAUAUAUAUACACUUAUAUACACAUAUAUAACUAUACAUAUACACAUAUAUAAGUGUAUAUAUAUACACAUGUAUAUAUGUACGUAUAUAUAUGUAGGUAUAUAUGUAUAUAUGUAUCUAUGUAUCCUAUACAUAUACAUAUAUAUGUAUCUAUGUAUCCUAUAUAUACAUAUAUAUGUAUCUAUGUAUCCUAUAUAUAUACAUAUAUAUGUAUAUAUGUAUCCUAUAUAGAUACAAAUAUAUGUGUAUAUAUGUAUCCUAUGUAUAUAUCCUAUGUAUAUAUAUGUGUAUAUAUGUAUGUGUAUAUAUAUGUGUAUAUAUGUGUGUGUAUAUAUAUAGAUGUAUGUAUAUAGUACCCAUAGGAUACUUAGUGCACAUCUCUUUUAUUGUGAUUUUUGCCUAGUAUAUUGGACCCCCAAACUGUCAGACAAAAAACACUUCCAAAGUCUUCUCCACCCCAUAAUCACCAUCCCAGCAGAAUUUUCCAGUAAGGCAAAUACAGUAUUGUGCUAUUUCUGCAUGGUAGACAUUGCAUACUUAUAAUUCUGACACAGCAGGACUCUAAGCCAUCCAGUCUUCUGGGCUCCUCUUCUUGUGUACCAGGAUUAACGAGCAGAGUCCCACUCCUCUUCUGUGAAAGCCGAGUCCUCCUCAAGAUGUCCUGAGACUGUCUCUGAGGACUCACAGACUCCUGGUCCAGGGUUGUCAGCAUCCUGGCAGUGACCGCCCUUUCCCUGACGUGUCACCCUGCUGUACAGGGCCCCAGUUUCUCUAUCCUUUCUGCCUUAGGCUGCAUUUGGCUGAAUGCCAAGGAAUUGGAGCACAGCAUCAUAGGGGUAAUCGCAGAAGGCCUAGUGUUCUGCCCUUUAGCCAAACCACUUGCCAUGUCCCCUUAAGGCCUUGCCUUGCCAUUACCUUCUUGGGCUUUGCUCUUCUCCAGAAGUGGCUGUCUACUCAACUAACAGCUUCCUGCAGUCCCCAAAUUCUGGUUACUUCCCACCGGAACACAACACAGCUUGUUCUUCAUUUUUCUUUGUUACUUCCAGGCUAUACCCAGAGCUUGCAUUUCUCACCUACAAGUCCCAUCAAGGCUCAUGGUAUUAUUUCUUCCCUAUAAGAGAAUGUAUGUCCUAUUAUGUGAAAGUGGCUACAGUCAUGGCUUUAAAUAGCAUUCUCCCACUGCUACAAUAUGUGUAUUGAAGCUUACAGAAUAGUUGAUAGUUAGGAAUUAAAUCUAAAAAAGUAAGGACCAAAUAACAAUAUAACAAAAAUGACCCCAAACAAGAGAUGCCCAAGCAGUAUGAUCAAGCAAAGAAUGGUGGUACCAAAAAUAAAGGCAAAGAAGAGGAGAUGGCUGAUGGCGGGGAUGGCCCCAUUGGGCUCUCAUGAGAGAGGUGAAGGUGGAUUGAGUAUGAGGGAUGGAGGAUGUGAUGAGUGGGGAGAGACUAGGAGGGUGUCACAGGGAGGAGAAACCACUUGAGCAGAGGCAGGAAGGUGGCCUGACAUGUGACCCACUGGCUUGGAGGAGUGAGUAGGAGUAAUCCAGGCUGGCGGGGAAGAGCAGGAUCUUCACCAGGCCAGAAGGAGAAGCAGAAACCAGACGAUGGAGACCCUGCCAGUUGUCUUCUGGUAGCAGUUCUGAAGUGAACAAGUUGAAUGCGGUUCUCUGAGUGUAAGACACUCAACAAUGUAAACUGCUAGGAUGCAGCUCUCUAAUUAAGACUAUUUUCUUACAACAUGUGUUUGUUUAUUACAGAGAGCUGUGAUCACUUGAGGGUGUCGUGUCAACCUUGUCUCAUGCACCAGCUGAAUUCAGUGACACUAACAUCCUGGAUCCUGCAGAUGAGAGUAUUAUGACUGCACUACCAGGGAGGCUGCCCAGGGCUGGAGAUUGCUCUGCUCCAGAGGUGCUUGGUUUGCAGUGUGGGCGGACUCAACCUGAGCGAAAGCCACACAGAAGCGCCUUGAGCUGGAGCCCCAUGCUAGUGUUGGUUACACCAGUGGUUCUUUUUUUUUUUUUUUUUUUUUUUUUGAGAUGGAGUUUCUCUCUUUUUGCCCAGGCUGGCGUGCAAUGGUGUGAUCUCGGCUUACCACAACCUCCACCUCCCAGGUUCAAGUGAUUCUCCUGCCUCAGCCUCCCAAGUAGCUGGGAUUAUAGGCAUGUGCCACCAUGCCUGGCUAAUUUUGUAUUUUUAUUAGAGACGGGGUUUUACCAUGUUGGCCAGGCUGGUCUCGAACUCCCGACCUCAGGUGAUCCUCCUGCCUUGACCUCCCAAAAUGCUGGGAUUACAGGCAUGAGCCACCGUGACCGGCCAACACCAGUGGUUCUUAAACUUCAGCCUGGGUCUGAGUCACCUGGAGGGCUAUGAAAACACAGAGUGCUGGGCCCCAUCCCCAGAGUUUGUGCCUUCAGUAGGUCUUUGGGGGGGCCUAAGGAUUUGCGUUUGUAACAAGUCCCCAAGUAAUAUGGGUGCUGCUGGUUGGGAGAUCCCACUUUCGAAUCGCAGGUUCACUCUACAGUCCCAUUGUUAACUUAUAAAACUCUUGCUCUCUAGUUCUUCUUUUUGUAAAGGUGUGUCCUGAGGAACCUCAGAUUUGAAAGAAGAAUGAAUGGAAGUCAAAUGUGGAAACCACUCAAAUGUCCAUCAGCUGACGAAUGAAUAAACAAAUCGUGGUAUAUCCAUACAAGGAAUAUUAUUCACCCAUAAAACGGAAUGAAGUCUUAAUACACCUACAACUGGAUGAACAUUGAAAACUUUAUGCUAUCCAUUCUGCUUCAGACCGGAAAGGAGAAACAGUCUUAUCUGCAUGAAAGUCCUGGUACUGCUGUAUCUCGUACUAUAAGUUCAGUUUUCUCCCUUCACCUGAAGAUGGAGUCUCGCCCUGACGCCCAGGCUGGAGUGCAAUACCACAAUCUCGUCUCACUGCAACCUCUGCUUCCCAGGUUCAAACGAUUCUCCUAUCUCAGCCUCCCGAGUAGCUAGGAUUACAGGCGCCUGCCACCAUGCCCAGCUAAUUUUUCUAUUUUUAGUAAAGAUGGGGUUUCACCGUGUUGGUCAGGCUGGUCUCUAAUUCCUGACCUCGUGAUCCACCCACCUUGGCCUCCCAAAGUACUGGGAUUGCAGCCAUGAGCCACCGCACCCGGCCUUGACUUAUUUUCUUAAAAUAUAUUUCCUUUAAGUUACUGGAUCAAGGGGUGUGAACAUUUUAAGGUUCUUGAAUGCAGUAUCAAAUUGCUUUGGUAAAGGAUUGUACCAAUUUACAGUGCUACCAGCAGGGUGUGGGUGUACAUUUUCAACAACUUGCCAGCACCGAAUUUCAUCAUUUAAAAAAGGUUUACAGACUGUACAUAAUUUAACUUAAUAUAAACUAAUAAAUUACUGUGUCCAACUUUUGAGCAUGCAUAAAAUUUUUUCCCCAUUUCUUUUUUGUUGGCAUCCCUACUAUUUCGUAAACUGCUUGAGGGCAGUUUACACACCUUGCACAUUGUAGAAAAUCAAUAAUUGCUUUUUGAAACAAUGAAUAAUUCAGGGAAUCCCUGCUCCCAAUAAUUCUUCAGUUUUGAUAAUAGCAGUGAGUUUUGGGUUGUUUUGUUUUCAAGAUAAACUAAAUUACACUUUAUUUCACUGAUGUUGGCAGCCCCAGAGGACUCUGUUUGCAGGAAAAAAAAUGUAUGAAGAUUUUCAUAGGUGGGAAGUAGACCUCUCCCACACAACGAGAAGAGCAGCUAAAUCAUUGCUCUUUUCUCCCAGUCUCUCCCUGCACUCCCAUCUGAUUUCCUGUCUGCUCCUGAAAAGCCAGCUCAAUAUGAACUAAGGAAAAGCUAUUUGUAGUGCUCAUGGGAGGAAAAAGAACACAAAUAGGCUCUUCCUAAGCUAUUGAGCUUAGCUUUCACUCUUUCCAGCAGGAAAAGGGUCAUGCAUGUCCAGGUGAUACUACUUGUACUUUGGUACCCAUUGAUUGGGACAGUGUGUGCCGAUGAAAAGGUGCUGUGAAUUCAGUAAUGCUUUUUAAAUACAUAUUUUAAUUUCAAUGAUGUCUACAUAAAUUUCAAAAACAGCAAUUAAAAAGUAUGCUUGAGACCAAUGUAUCCGGCUACACCUAUUUGGUGCAUAUUUGCAUUCUUAGAUUCCUUAAAUGUCCUCUGCACAAAGGUUAGGAAACUGUGCCCUGACAAUAAAGCAGUAUCUUAUUAGAACUAAGAGAUUAACCAGUAAAGAGGACUAGAGAAGUCGUUGUUAACUGAUACUUUAUUAGUAUUUAAUACAGUAACCUGCCUCUGCUAGAAGUAAGGACUCCUCCUCAACUUUUAAAGAUAGCUAAUUUUAGAACUCUGCUUCCUACCUGUUCACCUUUUUCUCAUUGGUGACAGCAACAAACAAUUAAUGGCUUUCUUAAAUGUCUUGCUGUCUGAAAUAAGAUCUUUUUCCAAUUAAAAAGUCACAAAGGCUGCAUCUCUCCUCUGUUUCCUUCUUUGGCUGUAACAUCUUGACAUCUCUCUCUCUGUCUCCUGUUUUAUCCAAGACUGAGGUUACAUGAAAACAAAAUGGGUCAUAGGCUUCUAUUGCGGGGGUGGGGCGGGGCCGGGGGGCAGAUUAUUUGUGACUGGUUUUAAAGAAAAUUUAUGCUGGUGGUUUGCAGAAAGUUGACAUAUAUCCUAGAGUUUCCUUGUCAGAGGGCAGCAGGGUCCCCAUGGGUUCACAUCGUUGCCUGGACAAGGAGUCUUUGUACCCUAGUCAUGCCUGGGUUGUCGCAGGGAUGGGGUAACUCAUUUAUUCACACUCUUUCUCCUUUCCUGUUUCCUUCAAAGAAACCCUGGUCCUAGUUGACUCUACUUUACUGUUCAAAAUUCAGCUCAACAUAUGUCAAGCUGUAUGUUCUUAAACUCAAGGAAACAGAAAGGUUAUAACCCCGUGGUUUCCAAGCCUGGCUUUUCAUCAGAGUCUCUUGGUGAACUUUUAGAAAAUCCAUAUUCUUGCCCCCACAGCCAUUCUGAUUCAUUAGGACUGCUUGGGGCCAUGGAACUUAUAUUUGGAAAAGCUCUCCUUGUGUUUCUGAUGAUCAGUCCAGUUCCAGAACACCAAGCUAGCCAGGCUCCCAGGGUAAGACCUCCUUGAGUAUCAUCUCUGGCAGGUGGUUCUAUAACCUCCACUGUAAAACCUCCAGCCAUGGGACACUCACCACUUUUUAUGAGUGGCCUGAGUUGAGACAUUCUUCCUUGUGCUGAGUGGAAAGGCAUUUCCACCACAAGAAUUUCUACCUGUUGAUUUCAAUUAUGCCUGUUGGAGCAAUACCAAAAAAAGUUAUUCUUCCCCAUAAUAAACUUUCAAAUACUUCAACCUCUCAAGCAGUUAUUGUUUCCUUCUCAGGAUCUCUCUUCCCUUUUCCAGACCCUUAGUCCAGGGUCCUUCUCUGAUUACGGUUGGAGUGAGAGUGUUGGUUAUGUGCCAAGUGCUUUAGACCUGUCUUUUAGAUAAACUCUUGAGGGAAAUUUAUGGUGUCACUAUCUUCCCAGUAUUUGGGAUGGGAAGACCAAGGGCUGGAGAAGUGAUAUGACCUGCCCCAGCUCCCACAGCUAGGUAGCUAAAUUGAAAUUUGAACACUCUAUCUGACUCCAAAUUCUACAUCUUCAACUAACAUGUUAUGCUUCAGAUUUUUUCUUUCUUUGUUUUUAAAUGCAAAAUAACAAAUGCUAAAUUUGCAUUAAAUCAAGGUAUGUAAAAGUAAAACCUUCCAGUUUAAAAUUCUACUCUAGAGGCUGCCACUGCCAAAUUUGCGAAGGCCCUCUGCAGCCCACCACCACAAGCUGGAAGUUAUAGUCACAGCAGAGGGGAGCCUUCGCCUCCUUUGCUCUGGACACCAUCUGCAGUGACUGCAGCCUCCAACUGCACUGUGGGCUUGGAGCAGUGAGUAGGUUUCUUUUGACCUUGAAGCAACUAGACCCUGCGCUUUUUGUUUGCUUUAAAUAAACUUGUUCAGAUGUCACUCAUUUUAUAUCCUUACAAAUGUAUUUCUUGGUCUUAGAAGGACUUUAUAUCUAUCUCCAUUAUUUUUCUUGUUGGUUGUGAUCCAUUAUAUCAACUUAUAUAGAUCUUUCAGUUCUUUCAAUUUGAUCACCGAUUAAAUUAUCUCGCUCAAUGUCAUUCUCAGAUCUUAAUACAUGUGAUGCCUCUCUUUGUCCAAAUAAUUGAUAAGAGCUUUGUUAAAGGUAGGACCAAGGACAGAGUCUUUGAGCACUUGUAGGGGAAUUAAUCGAUUAAUACUCCUGGGCUACAGUUUUUCAACCAAAUAUGAACACACCUGAUUGUAUUAUCAUUCAGUCUUGUCUAUAAGGGCAUGAAAAAUUUGGCCAAAUGCCUUUCUGUCCACAGCAUUUUCCUGAUUAAUCCAGUAAGUUUAUUCAAAAAAGGAAGUAUUCAAUUUUAUCUUGGCAAACCUAUGUGAGUUCCUACAAACCAACACCUUUUCUUCUUAGGGUUCAGAAAAUAUUUCUUUUAUGGUCUGUGCAAGAACUUUGCUGUGGAUUGAUACCAAACUUACAUUUUGGCUGGGCUUCAAAGUGACUCAGAAAGGGGCUGGGUUCAGGCUGGGAUGUAUGGAGCCUGUAGUGGUGGCAAGGCAAAGGCCAGCAGGGAUAGUGAAUAGAGGCCUCAGUGAUGAGGUGGGUGCGUUGGUUAAUUGCACAGGUGAUAGGGCUGGCUAAUUAGGGUAGGGAAUUGACUAGCUGUCAGUGAGGUGAACUGAAGAAUCCACCCUAUGGAGGUGUCAAGGGGCAGGGAAAGAACAAGAAUGGAAUCAAGGUAGAUGUGUCUUCAGAGAGCAGCCAACUGGGCAGAGAAAGGCUGGAGGCUGAAGCUUGAUUAAUGUACACUAUGGUAGAAACCAUGAAAGCCCAAGGAUCCAGGAGGUGAAGCUGACGUAAGUCAAGGGUGAGAAAUGGUCUUGGGGAACUGAGGCCUCAUCGGGGCUUGUGAUGAGACAACUGUAUUCCCUGUCUCAGCAAAUGAUGCCAACUACCCAGUUGUCCAAACCAGAAACCUGGUGUCCUCCUGGAGUCCUACUGCUCCCUCAGUCUCCCCAUAGCCACUUGAAUUAUCAAGCCCUAUCAUUCCUACCUCCCUCUAAUAGUUCUCAAUGCCCAUUUCUCUACAUUGUUCUACCACCCUUGCCACUGUCAUCUCUUCCCCGACCCCCCAUUUUUUUAUUGUGGUAAAAUAUAAAUAAUAUAAAAUUUACCAUCUUAAGAAUUUUUUUUUUUUUCUUUUCAGAAAGGGUCUCACUCUGUCACCCAGGCUGGAGUGCAGUGGUGCUAUCUUGGCUCAUUGCAACCUCUGCCUCCCGGGUUCAAGCGAUUCUCCUGCCUCAGCCUCCUGAGUAGCUGGGAUUACAGAUUGUGAGAUCGAUGAGAGCCCAGAAAAUAUCUUAGGAUCCCUAGUGCUUAGCACAGAGCUUGGCAUAUGGAGGGACAUGGAUGAAGCUGGAAACCAUCAUUCUCAGCAAACUAUCGCAAGGACAAAAAACCAAACACUGCAUGUUCUCACUCAUAGGUGGGAAUUGAGCAAUGAGAACACAUGGACACAGGAAGGGGAACAUCACACCCCGGGGCCUGUUGUGGGUUGAGGGGAGGGAGGAGGGAUAGCAUUAGGAGAUAUACCUAAUGUUAAAUGACGAGUUAAUGGGUGCAGCACACCAACAUGGCACAUGUAUAUAUAUGUAACAAACCUGCACGUUGUGCACAUGUACCGUAAAACUUAAAAUAUAGUAAAAAGAAAAAAAAGAAGAAUGGAAUGCCUGAUUCUGCAUCCCUCUAGAUGGGAUCAACAGGAUCAAAACAUGACCUUGAUGGCCAAGCCAAGUUCUCUUUUUCCCAAAGGGUUUAAAUCUGCCCUAUUUAAUAUGGUAGCCAGUAGCCAUAUGUAUUUAUAUUAAAUUUAAAUUAAUCAAAAUUUAAAAAUUAGGUACUUAGUCACACUAGCUACAUUUUACAUGCUCAGUAGCCACAUAAAGCCAGUGGCUGCUGUAUUGAACAGUGCUGAUUAUGGAAUAUUUCCAUCACUGCAAAAGGUUCUGUUGGACAGCAGUAAUCCAGAUCUCCUUUGUAGAAGAAUUGGCACCUGGGGCUGCCUGAUCUUCAAGGGGCACAUCACAGAGCAUGGUGUUGACCCAUCUGGAUACCAUGUUUGAAGUUGACAUGGCCCAGAAAUUUGACUUCCACCAGUUAAAAAUGUACUUUGACAGUUUUGUAUUUAACCUGUAAAUCCAGAAGCAUGUCAGGGCCUUCUGGAUGGAGCACUGUGAAAUUAGCAUACACUUCAAACCCUCUUCCCUAAAAGAUCAUGCACUACUGUGCUGUACAUGGUAGACCUAUCUCAUAGUGUAGGCUUCAGCAAAUACCCUUUGACAAAUAAUUGGUUCUGUGCUGAUGAUAAGCCUAAUAGGUGAAAGAUGGUCUUUCCCUUAAAAAAUUGAGAUAUAUGAUACCAGUCUCAUAAACUCUAAUUCACAAGCCCUGGCAUUAUGAGAGGCACUUAAAGUAUGAAUGGUGUUAAGAUUAUCCUUUAAUUUUGCAGUAGGCAAAUGACCUCCCAAAGAUAUUCGCUUCCUAAUCCCCAGAAUUUGGGAAUACAUUACCUUACAUGACAAAGGGGAUUUGCAGAUGUGAAUAAGUGAAGGAUUUUGAGAUGGGGAGACUAUCCUGGAUAAUCCCAGUGGGACUCAUGUAAUCACACAAGUUCUUAAAAGUGGAGAACUUUUCCCUGCUGUGGUCACAGAGAAAAACGCAACCAAUGUAAGAACGGUCAGAGAGAUUCAACAUUGUUGGCUUUGAAGAUAGAGGAAGAGACCACAAGCCGAAGAAUGCAGGCAGGCUCUAGAAGCUGGGAAAGAGAAGGAAACGUAUUCUCUGCAGAGCUACCAAAAUGAAUACAUCCCUGUCUACACCUUGAUUUUAACCUGGUGAGACCUGUAUUGGGCUUCUGACCUACAGAACUCUAAGUAAUAACUAUAUGUUGUUGAACAUGCUAAGUUUGUGGGAAUUGUAACAAUAGCAAUAGGAAAUGAAUAUACCUUUUAUACAGUGGAGGAUGACUAAAUAAUUUAUUUUGAAAAUACAACUGUCACAAGGAUGAAAUAUUCAUGAUCACAAAUUGGUGCAUUCUUAACUGUGGAUAAUUAUGUAUGAAGCCAAAUUAUAAUAAAACUGUUAUUUGCCAAACAUAGAAACCUUGCUUCGUGACUAGGCUGAGCCCAGAAGGUCAUUCCCUUCUUCUGCCUGUUAUGUAUCUGGGCAAGUGUAGGGCCUUUGCAGGUGAAUCCAGUAGAGAACAUGCUAAGAAUGAGCAGCAGUCAUGCAUGACUGUAUCAUUGAAAGCCUUCUAGCCAUUUUACAGCUUCACCUCCCUGGUUUUAUUUUUUCAGAGGGGACUGAAGGAGAUGAAUGGAUAAUAAACUAUGGCUAAAAA